This 440-nucleotide ribosomal RNA is filed under the name uncultured bacterium. RNAcentral describes it as "partial 16S ribosomal RNA". It matches the Rfam family "Bacterial small subunit ribosomal RNA", at positions 338 to 795 of the family's 1533-position model. The record is from RNAcentral.
CCUACGGUGUGCAGCAGUGGGGAAUAUUGCACAAUGGGGGGAACCCUGAUGCAGCGACGCCGCGUGGGUGAGGAAGUACUUCGGUAUGUAAAGCCCUAUCAGCAGGGAAGACAAUGACGGUACCUGACUAAGAAGCCCCGGCUAACUACGUGCCAGCAGCCGCGGUAAUACGUAGGGGGAAAGCGUUAUCCGGAUUUACUGGGUGCAAAGGGAGCGUAGGCGGCGUGCCAAGUCUGAUGUGAAAGGCCGGGGCUCAAUCCCGGGACUGCAUUGGAAUCUGGCAUGCUGGAGUGCCGGAGGGGCAAGCGGAAUUCCAUGUGUAGCGGUGAAAUGCGUAGAUAUUAGGAGGAACACCAGUGGCGAAGGCGGCUUGCGGGACGGUAACUGACGUUGAGGCUCGAAAGCGUGGGGAGCAAACAGGAUUAGAUACCCGUGUAGUC